This 90-nucleotide ribosomal RNA is filed under the name Aspergillus brasiliensis. Lineage: Eukaryota; Fungi; Ascomycota; Eurotiomycetes; Eurotiales; Aspergillaceae. The record is from RNAcentral.
CUUCCCGUCCGCUCAGCCGUACUCAAGCCACACGCCGGGAGGUUAGUAGUUGGGUGGGUGACCACCAGCGAAUCCCUUCUGUUGUAUGUU